UGUCACGCCCCGGGACCGGCGAAGGCCCUCCCGGUAGCGUAUCCAGACCCGCCAUAUGUCUACACAUAUAAGGCGUCUACAACAAAAGCGGAAGUAAAGCAAGAGAUAGAACAAAUGAAAGAAGUGAAAUAAUGAGCAACUAAUGAUAUCAGAGCGAGUAAAGUUCUGUCAUCUAUACUAAAGUAUAGGAAUAAAGCUAGACAAUAAAAGAAACCGUAAGUUAUACAGUAUCAGCCUCUAAUACAAAAAUAGUGGUCACUAGUACACUGGUAAAACUCUCAACCUCUCCAAAAUAAAACACAACGAGAGGUAGACCACCUAGCGAAUCGUCCUCGAAGGAAGCUAGCUCGAAGCAACUCCCUUCCCGCGGUCCCUGGCCUCACCCUGAGUGGAAGGCUCUGAAAAACAUCGAGAAAAAGAGGGCGUGAGAACUAUAAUUUAUAGUUCCCAGUGGGCAAUUACUGACCUCAGCUCCUGCUCCACUAGGCCCCAAAAACAAGGAUAAGUAAUGCUAAUAGCAAUAAGCAAUAAAAAGGAGCAUGUAAAUAAACUGCUGAAAGAGAGUGCAUAAGUAAAAUGCUAUACUACUAUAUCCCUCAUAAGCACGAUGUCAAAAUGUUAUACAUCUAUUCUAUCAUAAGGAAAAGUAACCAAUGGCAAUAGUUUACUAUUACAACCCUUUAUUCAAACAUGAUGUAUAAGCUCUAUCAUGGCAACCAAGUAUACUGUGAUGAAAUAGGUAACUGUCAAGUAUACUAUAUGUCUCAACCCUAUGCUAUAUGCAUGUAAAUGUAAUCCAACUACUAAGCCU
This 811-nucleotide long non-coding RNA is filed under the name Ananas comosus (pineapple). Its description in RNAcentral is "long non-coding RNA (ACOM_LNC034117)". The record is from RNAcentral. Lineage: Eukaryota; Viridiplantae; Streptophyta; Magnoliopsida; Poales; Bromeliaceae.